RNAcentral lists this long non-coding RNA (1156 nucleotides) under Oryza sativa (Asian cultivated rice). RNAcentral describes it as "long non-coding RNA (OSAT_LNC001371)". Lineage: Eukaryota; Viridiplantae; Streptophyta; Magnoliopsida; Poales; Poaceae. The record is from RNAcentral.
ACAUGGUGAUUCAGAGUGCUAGGAAAAUUUGCAGAUGGUUAUACAAUCAUUCGAAGCUUCAUGCUAUGGUGACAACAACUAUAGGUGGUGAAUUGGUUAAGUGGAAUGCUACACGGUUCGGCACAAACUACAUGUUCCUUCAGAGUUUCCUUAGGAAGCGAGAUCAGUUCAUGAAGUGCAUGGCUUCCUCUAGCUUCAUGCAAAGCGAAUUCAGUGGCACAGCGGAAGGUAGAUAUGCACACACCUACCUAUCUAGCAAGGGGUGGUGGGAAAACAUAGAGGCAAUAACGACCCAAGCAAUGUACUCCCUCCGCUUUGCUGACGAGGACAAGAACCCCAAUUUGAGUGAGGUUCUUCUGAGAUAUCAAUUGAUUAAAAUGGAGUAUGUCAGUCUAUUCGCGAGUGAAAGGGACUAGUACGCAGCUUACAUGGAUAUUGUUGACAGAAGUUUGCACGACCUGACCAAUGAUACACUCAUCAAUGUUAGCAAGUAGCUAGCACUUAUGUUCUUAACAUAAUCUUGUAUUCAUAGUAAAUAACCCUUUACCUAACUUGUGCCAUGUUUUGUAGCUGCAGCACUAAACCCUCGGAUGCACUACGCGUACAUUGCAAGUGCGACCGUCUUCCAAGACCUCCGUCAGGCCUUCGAGCGGAUGACGAACAUUGAAAUGGUUGCUGCCACUUUGCUGGAGGUUGAGAUGUAUCGAUGUAAGAGUAGCGAAUUUGGGAGGCCGCUUGCAAGAAAGAUGGUGAUGGAUGGGAAAAGUUGGCUUGGUAUGUUUCAGAUAAUGCAACUAUCAAAAGUCCGAAUGCUUUCGACGUAUUCAAAAUUAAAAUGACAUGUUACUCGGCAUUUGCAGCACAAUGGCGGUCUAUGUUUACAUCGGGCAUGCCGAAUUUGAAGAAACUUGUGUUGCGUUUGAUUGAUCAGUGUUGCUCUUCAAGUGGAUGUGAAUGGAAUUGGAGCACACUUGCAUCCAUACAUACAAUGAUCCGUAACAAACUUACACACAACAAGCUCAACAAACUUGUCUAUGUCAACUACAACCUUCGCCUUCAAAUUCAGCAAACAAAUACCCAAGUUAGGAAGGACGAUGACGAUCCCCUUCAAAGGCCAGCGGACCUAUCAUUCUACGACACUAACAAUCAGAUUAGC